This 657-nucleotide long non-coding RNA is filed under the name Ananas comosus (pineapple). RNAcentral describes it as "long non-coding RNA (ACOM_LNC012643)". The record is from RNAcentral. Lineage: Eukaryota; Viridiplantae; Streptophyta; Magnoliopsida; Poales; Bromeliaceae.
UUCAAAUUGACACUUUAAUUAACAUAAUAUCAAAGCUAAGUCCAUUUUAGAGAAGAAUAAUAAUGAAUGAAGUAGAUAAUGUACUAUUUUUUUUAAAAAAAAAAGAUAUUUUCCAUUAGUUUUUUGAAGCAUAUUUGGCAAACAAAAUUUUAACUUUUAUGAAUAUUAACCUCAUGUCAGAUAUACUACAAUAAAAAUAGUGUAUAGCGAUAUUUUUAAAUAUUGGUAUAGGUUAAAAAAGUAUUGUUGUCUAAAUUAUGGACAUUUUUUAAAAGUAUUGCUAUAUAUGGAGUCGCUAUAUAUAGGGCCGUCUUAAUAUUUGGUACACAUUCCUCCAGCAACUCGUGGCAAAGGGACACGUGGCGAUCGUAGUCUUUUACGAUCCCUGCGAGAUUCUCGAGGCCAAACUCUAGCCGCCGAAACCCUAUCUCGUUGGCUGCGACGGAGAAGGAGGAGAAGAGGAGAUGGUAAUGAAUUUUUUUUUUUUAGUUCUAAUCGUGCCGAAUGGGCUGGGUGGGAUUGGUGUUUUUGAUUGUAUUGGAUUUUAUAUUUAGAUUUUUGAAGAUUUUUUUAAAAAAUUAACAUAAAUAGAACACUUACAUAAAAAUAUUCCAAAAAUAUAUGUCUAUAAUAUAAUUCUAUUGCAGUGAUAAAAGC